Molecule: small nucleolar RNA, 138 nt
Organism: Ornithorhynchus anatinus (platypus)
Lineage: Eukaryota; Metazoa; Chordata; Mammalia; Monotremata; Ornithorhynchidae
Source: RefSeq, a predicted model, not a curated record
UCCCUCUCAAGAUUGCACCUGGAGAGUUUCCAGUACUCUACCAGACUCGACUAUGGGAGGGAGAGACAAGCAGAAGUAUAACCUUUCCAUUCCUAGCUUGGGCAGUGGCUAGUGAAUGGAAGGCCAUCUGCAACAGGU